RNAcentral lists this ribosomal RNA (1421 nucleotides) under uncultured bacterium. RNAcentral's name for it is "16S ribosomal RNA". It matches the Rfam family "Bacterial small subunit ribosomal RNA". The record is from RNAcentral.
UUAGAGUUUGAUCCUGGCUCAGGAUGAACGCUAGCUGGUAGGCAUAACACAUGCAAGUCGAGGGGCAGCUGGUUUGGUAGCAAUACUGAAUGUCAGGCGACCGGCGGAUGGGUGAGUAACGCGUACGCAACCUACCUUGUACAGUGGGAUAGACACUGGAAACGGUGCGUAAUACCACGUAAUAAUAUAGAUAGGCAUCUAUCUAUAUGGGAAGGGUACGUAAGUAUUGGUAUAAGAUGGGCGUGCGUAGGAUUAGAUAGAUGGUGGGGUAACGGCUUACCAUGUCGACGAUCUUUAGGGGUUCUGAGAGGAAGGUCCCCCACAUUGCAACUGAGAACGGUGCAAACUCCUACGGGAGGCAGCAGUGAGGAAUAUUGGUCAAUGGGCGGAAGCUUGAACCAGCCAUACCGCGUGCAGGAAGGCGGCCUUAUGGGUUUGUAAACUGCUUUAUAAUGGGAUAGUGAUUAUAUCGUGCAUAUGAUAGGGAAGGUACAUUAUGAAUAAGUAUCGGCUUAACUCUGUGCCAGCAGCCGCGUUAAUACUGAGGAUACGAGCGUUGUCCGGAUUUUAUUGGGUUUAAAGGGUGCGUAACGCGGAUGAAUUAUUUCUAUGGUUAAAAUGGUUGUGCUCAACCACAAUUUAGCCGUAGGAAACCGGUCAGGUAGGAAUAUAAGGGGGGGUGGGGGGAAUAAAGCGUGUAGAGGUGGCAUUCAUUGAUAUGCUUUAGAACACCGUUCGCGAAGGCCGGCUUACGAAGGUAAAAUUGACGCUAAUGCACGAGAGCGGUGGGUAUCGAACAGAAUUAGAUACUCUGGUAGUCCACGCUGUAAACGAUGAUAACUAUAUGUCGGCGAUUAGAAUGUCGGUGUAGAAGUGAAAGCGAUAAGUUAUCCACCUGGGGAGUACGAUCGCAAGGUUGAAACUCAAAGGAAUUGACGGGGGCCCGCACAAGCGGAGGAGCAUGUGGUUUAAUUCGAUGAUACGCGAGGAACCUUACCCGGGCUUGAACGUGAGAUGGAUAUCACAGAGAUGUGGUAGUUAGCAAUAACGUCUUGCGAGGUGCUGCAUGGUUGUCGUCAGCUCGUGCCGUGAGGUGUCAGGUUAAGUCCUAUAACGAGCGCAACCCUUGUUGUUAGUUACCAGCACGUGAAGGUGGGGACUCUAAUGAUACUGCCGGCGUAAGCCGCGAGGAAGGGGGGGAUGACGUCAAAUCAGCACGGCCCUUACGUCCGGGGCGACACACGUGCUACAAUGGUCAUUACAGAGGGCAGUUAGGCAGAGAUGUUGUACGAAUCUCUAAAGAUGGUCUUAGUACGGAUUGGGGUCUGCAACUCGACCUCAUGAAGUUGGAUUCGCUAGUAAUCGCAGAUCAGCCAUGCUGCGGUGAAUACGUUCCCGGGCCUUGCACACACCGCCCGUCA